Molecule: long non-coding RNA, 355 nt
Filed under: Amborella trichopoda
Lineage: Eukaryota; Viridiplantae; Streptophyta; Magnoliopsida; Amborellales; Amborellaceae
Description: long non-coding RNA (ATRI_LNC000117)
Source: RNAcentral
GCCAAUGAUACUUUCUCGUCGUCAAUCGUUGCAUGCAAGUAGAAGAAUUGCUCGGCCCUACAAAGUCAGCUUGUUGGGUAUUCAUCUCCAUCGAAACAAAGGAAGUCCAGCUUUACCAUUUUUGGGGUGUAAGAACUUGUAGAGCCACCUGACUGAAAAUGACUUCCAUAUGAUUUUGCUUGCGUGUGAUAAUUACCUUCAUUCUCUUUUGUUGAAGGUGUUGUCAUCUGAUCUAUCUGAACGUUGAGCUAGUUGAAAAGCUCACCCAUUCGACGCAUGAUAUCCUAAUGGCUGGUGGACAGUGAGUUUAUGGUCUACUCGAUUUGCUCAACCCGUUGUUCCAUGCCUAGCUUUU